GACGAACGCUGGCGGCGUGCUUAACACAUGCAAGUCGAACGGAAAGGCCCUGCUUUUGUGGGGUGCUCGAGUGGCGAACGGGUGAGUAACACGUGAGUAACCUGCCCUUGACUUUGGGAUAACUUCAGGAAACUGGGGCUAAUACAGGAUAGGAGCUCCUGCUGCAUGGUGGGGGUUGGAAAGUUUCGGCGGUUGGGGAUGGACUAGCGGCUUAUCAGCUUGUUGGUGGGGUAGUGGCUUACCAAGGCUUUGACGGGUAGCCGGCCUGAGAGGGUGACCGGCCACAUUGGGACUGAGAUACGGCCCAGACUCCUACGGGAGGCAGCAGUGGGGAAUAUUGCACAAUGGGCGGAAGCCUGAUGCAGCAACGCCGCGUGCGUGAUGACGGCCUUCGGGUUGUAAACCGCUUUCGCCUGUGACGAAGCGUGAGUGACGGUAAUGGGUAAAGAAGCACCGGCUAACUACGUG
This 468-nucleotide ribosomal RNA is filed under the name uncultured bacterium. Its description in RNAcentral is "partial 16S ribosomal RNA". It matches the Rfam family "Bacterial small subunit ribosomal RNA", at positions 28 to 507 of the family's 1533-position model. The record is from RNAcentral.